Molecule: transfer RNA, 72 nt
Filed under: Camelus ferus (Wild Bactrian camel)
Lineage: Eukaryota; Metazoa; Chordata; Mammalia; Artiodactyla; Camelidae
Rfam family: tRNA
About the family: Transfer RNA (tRNA) molecules are approximately 80 nucleotides in length. Their secondary structure includes four short double-helical elements and three loops (D, anti-codon, and T loops).
Source: Rfam by way of RNAcentral
GAGGGUACAGCUCAGUGGUAGAGCACACGCUUAGCAUGCACGAGGUCCUGGGUUCAGACCCCAGUACCUCCA